GAUGAACGCUGGCGGCGUGCCUAAUACAUGCAAGUCGAGCGAAUGGAUUAAGAGCUUGCUCUUAUGAAGUUAGCGGCGGACGGGUGAGUAACACGUGGGUAACCUGCCCAUAAGACUGGGAUAACUCCGGGAAACCGGGGCUAAUACCGGAUAACAUUUUGAACCGCAUGGUUCGAAAUUGAAAGCCGGCUUCGGCUGUCACUUAUGGACUGACCCGCGUCGCAUUAGCUAGUUGGUGAGGUAACGGCUCACCAAGGCAACGAUGCGUAGCCGACCUGAGAGGGUGAUCGGCCACACUGGGACUGAGACACGGCCCAGACUCCUACGGGAGGCAGCAGUAGGGAAUCUUCCGCAAUGGACGAAAGUCUGACGGAGCAACGCCGCGUGAGUGAUGAAGGCUUUCGGGUCGUAAAACUCUGUUGUUAGGGAAGAACAAGUGCUAGUUGAAUAAGCUGGCACCUUGACGGUACCUAACCAGAAAGCCACGGCUAACUACGUGCCAGCCGCCGCCGUAA
RNAcentral lists this ribosomal RNA (515 nucleotides) under uncultured bacterium. RNAcentral's name for it is "partial 16S ribosomal RNA". It matches the Rfam family "Bacterial small subunit ribosomal RNA", at positions 28 to 523 of the family's 1533-position model. The record is from RNAcentral.